This 1336-nucleotide ribosomal RNA is filed under the name uncultured bacterium. RNAcentral's name for it is "bacterial SSU rRNA". It matches the Rfam family "Bacterial small subunit ribosomal RNA", at positions 28 to 1382 of the family's 1533-position model. The record is from RNAcentral.
GACGAACGCUGGCGGCGCGCCUAACACAUGCAAGUCGAACGGAGCUUAGAGAGCUUGCUUUUUAAGCUUAGUGGCGAACGGGUGAGUAACGCGUGAGUAACCUGCCCUAGAGUGGGGGACAACAGUUGGAAACGACUGCUAAUACCGCAUAAGCCCACGGUACCGCAUGGCACUGAGGGAAAAGGAUUUAUUCGCUUUAGGAUGGACUCGCGUCCAAUUAGCUAGUUGGUGAGGUAACGGCCCACCAAGGCGACGAUUGGUAGCCGGACUGAGAGGUUGAACGGCCACAUUGGGACUGAGACACGGCCCAGACUCCUACGGGAGGCAGCAGUGGGGGAUAUUGCACAAUGGGGGAAACCCUGAUGCAGCGACGCCGCGUGGAGGAAGAAGGUUUUCGGAUUGUAAACUCCUGUCGUUAGGGACGAUAAUGACGGUACCUAACAAGAAAGCACCGGCUAACUACGUGCCAGCAGCCGCGGUAAAACGUAGGGUGCAAGCGUUGUCCGGAAUUACUGGGUGUAAAGGGAGCGCAGGCGGGAAGACAAGUUGGAAGUGAAAACCAUGGGCUCAACCCAUGAAUUGCUUUCAAAACUGUUUUUUCUUGAGUAGUGCAGAGGUAGAUGGAAUUCCCGGUGUAGCGGUGGAAUGCGUAGAUAUCGGGAGGAACACCAGUGGCGAAGGCGGUCUACUGGGCACCAACUGACGCUGAGGCUCGAAAGCAUGGGUAGCAAACAGGAUUAGAUACCCUGGUAGUCCAUGCCGUAAACGAUGAUUACUAGGUGUUGGGGGAUUGACCCCCUCAGUGCCGCAGUUAACACAAUAAGUAAUCCACCUGGGGAGUACGACCGCAAGGUUGAAACUCAAAGGAAUUGACGGGGGCCCGCACAAGCAGUGGAGUAUGUGGUUUAAUUCGAAGCAACGCGAAGAACCUUACCAGGUCUUGACAUCCGAUGCAUAGCACAGAGAUGUGUGAAAUCCUUCGGGACAUCGAGACAGGUGGUGCAUGGUUGUCGUCAGCUCGUGUCGUGAGAUGUUGGGUUAAGUCCCGCAACGAGCGCAACCCUUAUUGCCAGUUACUACGUUAAGAGGACUCUGGCGAGACUGCCGUUGACAAAACGGAGGAAGGUGGGGAUGACGUCAAAUCAUCAUGCCCUUUAUGACCUGGGCUACACACGUACUACAAUGGCGUUAAACAAAGAGAAGCAAGACCGCGAGGUGGAGCAAAACUCAAAAACAACGUCUCAGUUCAGAUUGCAGGCUGCAACUCGCCUGCAUGAAGUCGGAAUUGCUAGUAAUCGCGGAUCAGCAUGCCGCGGUGAAUACGUUCCCGGGGCCU